GACAGAGGUGGCAAGCGUUGCUCGGAUUCACUGGGCUUAAAGGGCGCGUAGGCGGCUUUGUAAGUCCGAGGUGGAAUUCCACAGCUUAACUGUGGAACUGCCUUGGAAACUGCAAGGCUUGAGUCAGGUAGAGGGAGGCGGAAUUCCCGGUGUAGCGGUGAAAUGCGUAGAUAUCGGGAGGAACGCCGAAGGCGAAAGCGGGUUCCUGGGCCUAUACUGACGCUGAGACGCGAAAGCUAGGGGAGCAAACAGG
This 253-nucleotide ribosomal RNA is filed under the name uncultured microorganism. RNAcentral's name for it is "partial 16S ribosomal RNA". It matches the Rfam family "Bacterial small subunit ribosomal RNA", at positions 524 to 776 of the family's 1533-position model. The record is from RNAcentral.